GGACUGUUGAUGAAUCCCAGGCUAGGAUGAAACGGCCGUCCAGUGC
Molecule: non-coding RNA, 46 nt
Organism: Schistosoma curassoni
Lineage: Eukaryota; Metazoa; Platyhelminthes; Trematoda; Strigeidida; Schistosomatidae
Source: Rfam